This 406-nucleotide ribosomal RNA is filed under the name uncultured bacterium. Its description in RNAcentral is "bacterial SSU rRNA". It matches the Rfam family "Bacterial small subunit ribosomal RNA", at positions 354 to 777 of the family's 1533-position model. The record is from RNAcentral.
GUGGGGAAUAUUGCACAAUGGAGGAAACUCUGAUGCAGCGACGCCGCGUGAAGGAUGAAGUAUUUCGGUAUGUAAACUUCUAUCAGCAGGGAAGAAAAUGACGGUACCUGACUAAGAAGCCCCGGCUAACUACGUGCCAGCAGCCGCGGUAAUACGUAGGGGGCAAGCGUUAUCCGGAUUUACUGGGUGUAAAGGGAGCGUAGACGGAAUGGCAAGUCUGAUGUGAAAGGCCGGGGCUCAACCCCGGGACUGCAUUGGAAACUGUCAAUCUAGAGUACCGGAGGGGUAAGUGGAAUUCCUAGUGUAGCGGUGAAAUGCGUAGAUAUUAGGAGGAACACCAGUGGCGAAGGCGGCUUACUGGACGGUAACUGACGUUGAGGCUCGAAAGCGUGGGGAGCAAACAGGA